ACCUUUUAACUCCUAAAGAGCAGUUCAAUUUUUAAUGAAUUUGGAGAAAUUAGGAAUUUUACUUAAGUUGUAUACUAUAAAGCUAAUAACUUUUUGAUAACAUCCCCUAUAAUCUUGAACUUUACUAUUACAAAUUAUAAAUUAAUUGAAACAUGGAAUAUGCACAGAAAAUAUUUCUUAAGAUACAGGUUAAAAUGUUUCAUAUUUUCCUGCGUAUUAUAACCUGUAAAGCACGUUCACUUACACCAUUUCACUUAUUUUUCAUUAUUGUUUAACUCAGUAUGGAAAUUGUACUAUUUGUUUCAUUUGGAUCUGAGGAGAUUGAAGUGAGAAGGUUGACUUGAUCAAGGAAAGGUCAUGUGGCUAUUUAAUCGCAAAAAAACCCCCAAACAAAACAAAAACCCUAAGUGUAGUUGAAUAUCAUCUCAGCUAUAAUACACAGAAAGUAAUACAUUAUUCCUGUUAUCAGAGGAGUAUUUUAUGGAACAUAUCAAGCUUUCUUUCUUGAUCAUCAUGGCUAUUUAUUGCUUUCUGAUAACACGACUGAAUCACAGCGCUAAAGAAUUUUACAAGUAAUAUCUGUCCAGUUUACCCACUGCCAAAAUUUCAGGUUGAGAAUAUGUCCCAUUGCAGGUACAGGCAUUUUGUGCUAUUGCAUUGAAAAAAAAAAAUGUAAAUGGGGACUUCUUGAACAACAACAAACUAACUGAAAUAUUAGAUGACUACACAAAAAAACAGUGGCAUUUUAUGACAGACCAGAGGAAAUUCUAAAACAUCCACCAUACUACCAGUUGCAAUGCACUACAUUAUUUUUUUUCUCCCCUAGGAGAACAAUGUGAUUUCUCUCAUUGCAGAUUCUCAGAAAGAAUUAUAACUGAAAAAGCCACACAGUUUUCAAUCAGAAUUUCAGCAACCUUUUGCAUCUCCCUUGUUUUGAUUGAGAAUCAAAGAAGAGGAACUGUGUUCCCACUGGAGAAGCCACAAGGAAGGCUUUCUGUAAAAGCCAAAGUUAAAAUGAUGCAAACAGGCAGAUGGAACCCAAGUCUGAAUGAGAAAAUCCUGAGCCAGGCCUCUUGCUGUGGUGUUAAUAUAGCCCAGUUGCGCCCUGAUUUCCUGUCUUUAUUACUGGGAUGCCAGUUAUUUAUGAAUUGAAUUCCCGUGUAGUUAUCUUGCUGUUAUUGCAAAAUGCCACAUGAUAUUUUGUGCUAAGUCAAUAAAUGACUCGUGCCGCCACUGUAUUUACUUUGUGUUUGUAAUCUCUAUGCUUUUACCCUUUUUCUGACAUUUUCCAAGUCUCUCCCUGCAAAUCAGCUGGCCAUGAAGCAGCGCUUCCUUUCAGCAAUUGACAGUCCUCUGCUGCAGGCCUAACCACUAAUUCACACCCCAGGGGACUGUGCACCCCAGAAAGAGAUUUGCUAUCAGUCUUCUGACACUCUGGUUACUUUAAAAAUUACUCCCAGAAUUUGGACUUCUUGCAGGUAAUUCUUAGAGAAACAUGAAAAAAUAUUGGUUGUUUGAAGCUUCAACUUAAAAAUAAGGAGCAGUAAUAAAGCAGGAUCAUUUGAAUUGGAGAAAUAGAGGUGACUUCAAGAGGUCAUGAGAUAAAAUUUCUAAUUCAGGGGCUCUCAAGCUCUUUUGAACAAGAUUUGUAAUAAGAAAGAAAUACAACUUACAGUGUGACUUCUUAUAUUCAUAUAUAUGAUUCAGUUGACACCAAAGUUUUAUAAAAUAAAACCUAUCCUUAUUACAUAGGCUUGUCAAAGUAUAAUAUUUUUAAAAUUAAAAAUAUGAUUUUCAUACAAAAAUAAAAUGAGCACAUAAUAAAGGUUUCAUUCAACUUCUUAAUUAAUGAAAGAACCAGUGCAGUGUUAAAACUGGUUAAAAGGUUAUUUGAGGAGCUGAGUGUUUAUAGGCAAUUUAAUAAAAGAUGUUAAGAUGGCUAACUUAGAUACAAAACUGGCUAACGUGCUGCAGUUCAAUCAGUCACCUUUAGGGUUAUUUUUCCUACUGGACAGAAAUUAUUUGCAUAGCUGCUGUGCAAAAAUCUACAAGUUAAUGUGUACCUUCAUUAAAUCUUGGACACUGUUUCAGUAGCAGACCCAAACAAAGAUUAUUCUUGUAAGUAAUUCUUGGCCAGAUGGCUUAAAUAAUGCCCUCACAUGAUUUUGAAAAACAUAGUCCCCAAAUGUUUUACUCUUGCCUUACAAAUUGGUUAAUUUUUUCCUAAUGGCAUGCACCCUGAUAUUUUCUAUUGUGUCCUUUUUAAAUUUUAAAAGCUGAUACUAUCUCCCUAAGUUAUUUUUCUAUGCCGUAAGUAGCUUAUGACUUGGUUUAAAGACUGCUACACCAGUGUAAAAAUAGGACAGCACCAAGCACUGCCAGAAUGAGGCAAGACUUUUUUCUUUGUCUUAUGAAUGAAAAGCUAAGGGGAAGAGGUUGGGGAGAAGAAAGAGCUUUAGCAAUCUGUAUUCAGGAACCUCAGCAUUCUAUAAAGUGAUGCGACUUUUCAUAAAAGUCAUAAUGCUUUUUUCAUCAUGCUUUUUAUAAAAGUCAUAGUGCUUUUUUCUUAAGCACAAAUUUUGCUUAAGUUGCAAUAUAGGCUCUUUUCCUCCUGAUUAGAGUAGAAUUUAGACAACUUUGUAGAGGUUUUUUUUUUUUUUUUUUUUUUUUUAGAGCUGUAGGAGAAGGUAAAUUAGUUAUUUGGAACCACUGCCUCAUUUCACAGAGGAAGAAACUGAUUCAGAAAACUAGGGUGACAGGCUCCAUCCCACAGCAGAUCCAUGGGGAAGCCCAACAUGUAGCCAGGGAAUGAAGAGGACAGUUCCUCUACUCAGGAGGGUGUGAGCCUCAUUACAGGUGACAGUCACCGAAUAGAGGACCUCAGGCAAAGCUCUUGUCUUCCUGGUCUGAGUUGUUCCGUCUCUAAAAUAGAAAGAUGUAAUGAGAAUUAAAGGACAGACUAUGUUUAAAUGUCUUUGUAAAACUAAAAAGCACUCUGAAGAUAUAAAUUUACUUAUUCCAGUCAUUUUUCCUAGUGUACAUUUUUCCAUCCUUGUAUACCUUCUCACAUAUAAGAUCUAAAUGCUGACCUAUUUGCACAUAUUUCACAGUAAUUGAGAUCACGGGUACAAUGUGCCCUAUUUAAGUCUAGUGAAUUCUGUAAGUGCUUUCUCUCUUCAACACAUGGUUCUAUAUUAAAAUAUUUAAAGAUGUGCUAGUUAUGGUUGCUAAUAGAUCAUCACUGUAAAAUACUCUAAAAUUUGCAAAUUAAAAAGUACCAUUCCAAUAAAAUGUACUACUAUUAUAUAAGACUUUCUACUUGUAGAGACUUCUAGUUAUGCUUUCCAUGCAUAAAAAAAUGCAACUUGAAAAACUGAUAAAUGGCCAACAGCUACUUCCCUGCUGAUUAUACAAAAUUUCAUUAUAGUGGAACAUUUAACAAUUUAAUUCUGAGCUCUCUCAGGAAUAGUCUGUAAAAUGUUUUGCUUAGGUCUCUUUUUAAGCACUGAAUUCUCAGCUUAAAUAAAAGGUAUGUUGAGCCUUUGCCAUAAGCAAAGUUAAGUCAUUAAAUCACAAGAGGUGAGCCUGAAGAUGACAGGUAAAGACAGAAUAAAUAAACACAAUCAAAACAUACCUGAAUGUUUUCUUUUCUCUUUCUCAUUCUUAGACAAUAAUUGCUGAGAUAGAAAUGAGACAGCUUUACUGCAAAGGCUACUCUCUUGAUUCCUAAGAGAUAUGUUUUAAAAUACACUAUAAAUAUUAGAAAAAUAUUCUAAGUGUAUUUAUGCCUUUUACAAAGUGCUUCAGACAGUUGAAGUAAUGGGUCUCUUGAGCUUUCUAUUUUUUACUGCUUUCUUCCACCUCCACCUCCUUCCCUGAUUCCUCUGAUUACAUGAGAGAAAAGAGAAAGCUUCAUUUAGACACUAAUGUGUCUGUUGUACUUGCUGCUUCAACACUGGGCAGGUGCUAUUCUCGUGUUUUAUAACUUGAAAAGCAGGGCUCAGGUUGAUCUUCUUAGGACUUCUGCAGGUAGCAGAAUGGUGCCAGAAAAUGCAGAAGCAGAGUCUGCAUCUGCAAACCAGUAGCAGUGGAGCCAAGGAUGGUAAACCAGAGGAUAUUCAUACACAACUUUGCAGCAUGAAUCCAGGUUUAUAUGCCAUUAUAAUCCCAGGAAUCUUUCUUUGAUUUCUACAUUACAUGACUUAAAUCAUCACUUUGUGCAUUAUUUCCUCAUGCUAACUUUUAGGACCAGAUUCUCUUCUCUUCCAAGAAUGCUAGGGGGAAGAUUCCUUACUUCAUUUAUACCCGAAAACACUACCUUCUUUUCCUACCGAGAUCUUCUGAUCUUCUGCUAUGGACUCCUCCUUGGUCAUACUCCUGUUCUCCUCUUUACCCCAUGCUUUAGCCAUAGCACACACCACACCCCUGCCUAUGCAAAGGGAAGGCAUUUGGUAUAGAGAAGAAUCAGAUCGGAAUCACUUCAACCUGUGCUUGAAUAUGGGCACUUACCAGCUCCAUGACCUUUAUACAAAGUGAAAAUACUUUCUCUUCUACCCUCUUAUGUUCAGUUUUUGGAGCACUGCAAAUUAAACUGACAAAAGAUAAAUUAACAGGAUAAAUGGCUUAUUACAUAAUAUUCAUAGAGAGGCCUUCCUAGAAAAAUAGGGAAGACCCAAAAUAAAUGGCUGGAAUCUGAGGAUAAUAUACUAUUUUAACAAAGAUCAAUAAAUUUAUAGAAAAGUGGAGUUCCUGUUGUGGCUCAUUGGAAUCAAAUCUAACUCGUAUCCAUGAGGAGACAGGUUUGAUCCCUGGCCUCUCUCAGUGGGUUAAGGAUCCUGCAUUGCUGUGAGCUGUGGUGUAGGUUGAAGUUGUGGCUCAGAUCUGGCAUUGCUGUGGCUGUGGUGUAGGCUGGCAGCUACAGCUCUGAUUUGACCCCUAGCUUGGGGACCUCUGUGUGCUGUGGGUGUGGCCCUAAAAAGAAAAAUAAAAAAGUAAAUUUAUAGAGAAGAAACAAAACAAAGAGAAAGAAGUUUAGGUCUUUAGAGAUGACAAAUGGUGGGAAGGUAAAUAUACGGGGAAAUUAACAGAGGAUAAGAGUUGUCUAAUUUAUUUUGUAAUACUCCUUAGCGCCAUCUCUGGGCUGGUCAAAGUCUAGUGUAGGCAAAUAAGGGGAGAGCAAAGCAGAGAGCUCUUUUUGAGUCUGCUGUUUCUCAGUUGCCUUCAGCUCAAAAUAAUCCUUAUGCCAAAAUGGUAUAUUUUAGGUUGGUGUAUUCUGAUCCUCUUCAAUCUUAACAAGGUUACCUACUUCUUAGAGCCUCAGCAUCAUACUCCUCUAAGAGAGGAAAACCUUAUCCAGUUGUUGUUGGAAUAAGUGCCUCUUACUCCCUGUUUUCACAGGGCUCUGCUUCCUUUUCAAGGCCUCUAAGAAAAGUGCUUUCCUUUCUCCUAAUGUUCCUGGAUUUUACUCUUCAUUUUCCUAGAUCUUUUCUCUCUCUCUCUCUCUCUUUUUCUAUUACGUUAAUUUAAUAUCCUUUCAUUGGGCAAUCCUACUUAGAGGCUGGGGGCAGAGGGGAGAAGCUGAAGAGGAAUAGAGAAAUCAAGUUGUAGGAGAUGAGAAAGUUUACACAUUAAUCAUUUUUGUCCUGUCCCAUAAACCCACAGAAGCCGUAGAGUAACAUUGCCUAUGAUACCCCCUCUAAUCCUCAUUUCCUCCAUCUAUAAACAGUACAUUUCUAUAUGUCUCUAAAAACCCAACCCAGAUUUUCUCUUGCUGUUGAAUUUAUUUAUGCUCCAUGGCUAUAACUUUUCUCACUCCAGACUUUCAUGGAGGUUUCUAUUUAAUGUUAUAUUUAUUCUUACUGUCUUGAUUACUUUCUAUACUUUAGGUGCAGUUCUUAAGUUUCUUGUUUAGUUGACCUGCAGAAUGACCUUUCUCCUGGUGUUUUACAAUGUGAGAAUUAGAUAAAUGAUUUUACUUCAGUGGUUGAAUUCAUGCCUAGAAAUAGAAAUACUAGAUUUAGCUAUGGAUUGGUAGCAUCCUGAUACUGCUACUAUUCUACUAUCACUAAGUGU
This 6072-nucleotide long non-coding RNA is filed under the name Sus scrofa (pig). RNAcentral describes it as "lncRNA (ENSSSCG00000052005.1)". Lineage: Eukaryota; Metazoa; Chordata; Mammalia; Artiodactyla; Suidae. The record is from RNAcentral.